This 492-nucleotide ribosomal RNA is filed under the name uncultured bacterium. RNAcentral describes it as "SSU rRNA". It matches the Rfam family "Bacterial small subunit ribosomal RNA", at positions 26 to 518 of the family's 1533-position model. The record is from RNAcentral.
AGGAUAAACGCUGGCGGCGUGCCUAACACAUGCAAGUCGAACGUCCUUGCGGUCUUCUUCUUCGGAGGAGGACCGCGAGGGAGUGGCGGACGGGUGAGUAACACAUGGGUACCUGCCUUUCAGUGAGGAAUACCGGCGAGAAAUCGCCGACAAGACCGCAUAGGCUUCCUUCGGUAGCCCGAGGGAAGCAAAGUUACUUCGCGAGAGGUGACGCUGGAAGAGGGGCCUGUGGCCGAUUAGCUAGUUGGGGGGUAACGGCCUCCCAAGGCGACGAUCGGUAGCUGGUCUGAGAGGACGAUCAGCCACACUGGGAUUGAGAACGGCCCAGACUCCUACGGGGGGCAGCAGUGAGGAAUUUCCGCAAUGGACGAAAGUCUGACGGAGCAACGCCGCGUGCAGGAGGAAGGUUUCGGAUCGUAAACUGCUUUCUCGGGGACGAGCAAGGACGGUACCCGAGGAAGAAGCCCCGGCUAACUACGUGCCAGCAGCCGC